Molecule: ribosomal RNA, 469 nt
Filed under: uncultured bacterium
Lineage: Bacteria
Description: bacterial SSU rRNA
Rfam family: Bacterial small subunit ribosomal RNA
Source: RNAcentral
ACACGCUGGCGGCGUGCCUAACACAUGCAAGUCGAGCGGGGUCCAUCCGGUAGCAAUACCGGGGAAGACCUAGCGGCGAACGGGUGAGUAACACGUGAGAAACCUGCCCCGAAGUCUGGGAUAACCCGAGGAAACUCGAGCUAAUACCGGAUGUCUUCUUCUGAUCGCAUGGUCGGAUGAAGAAAGAUUUAUCGCUUCGGGAGGGUCUCGCGGCCUAUCAGCUAGUUGGCGGGGUUAACGGGCCCACCAAGGCGUCGACGGGUAGCUGGUCUGAGAGGACGAUCAGCCACACUGGGACUGAGACACGGCCCAGACUCCUACGGGAGGCAGCAGUGGGGAAUAUUGCGCAAUGGGCGAAAGCCUGACGCAGCAACGCCGCGUGCGGGAUGAAGGCCUUCGGGUUGUAAACCGCUUUCAGUGGGGACGAAUUCAGACGGUACCCACAGAAGAAGCCCCGGCCAACUACGUG